UACGAAGGGGGCGAGCGUUGUUCGGAAUUACUGGGCGUAAAGGGCUCGUAGGCGGCCAACUAAGUCCGACGUGAAAUCCCCAGGCUUAACCUGGGAACUGCGUCGGAUACUGGAUGGCUUGAAUCCGGGAGAGGGAUGCGGAAUUCCAGGUGUAGCGGUGAAAUGCGUAGAUAUCUGGAGGAACACCGGUGGCGAAGGCGGCAUCCUGGACCGGCAUUGACGCUGAGGAGCGAAAGCCAGGGGAGCAAACGGG
RNAcentral lists this ribosomal RNA (253 nucleotides) under uncultured bacterium. Its description in RNAcentral is "partial 16S ribosomal RNA". It matches the Rfam family "Bacterial small subunit ribosomal RNA", at positions 524 to 776 of the family's 1533-position model. The record is from RNAcentral.